Cydia strobilella is the source of this 527-nucleotide long non-coding RNA. RefSeq lists it as uncharacterized. Lineage: Eukaryota; Metazoa; Arthropoda; Insecta; Lepidoptera; Tortricidae. The transcript has 2 exons. The record is from RefSeq and is a predicted model, not a curated record.
UCGGCUUCACAGGCAGGGUCACUACCUCCUAGGCCAGACGACCGGUCGUCGCCCAAUAUUUUGGGACAAUAGUCUAGUCUACAAAAGGUUCAAGGUGGUGAAAAAAAUAGUGUAAGCUGUUCGCAUAAAAAAACCGCAAAUCGAUGUACAGGUUAGCCGUUUGGUACACGUAUAUACUAGUCAAAACAAAAAUUUUGACCCGCAGUUCCUAAAAAAAAUUCCCUUAGGAGGGGAGUGCUGAAACCUUUUUUUGUAUAAAAAAAAACUUUUUUUUUAAACCUAUCGUAUACUUCUCAUCUAUCAUACGAAAGGGCUUUUUGAAGCGAUUCUGAAAAUAUACCACAUCAUUGCAUUUUAGCCAUUUUUAGGGUUCCGUAGCCAAAUGGCAAAAAACGGAACCCUUAUGGAUUCGUCAUGUCUGUCUGUCUGUCGUCCGUCCGUAUUUUUUCCGAAACUAUAAGAGCUAUACUGUUGAAACUUGGUAAGUAGAUGUAUUCUAUGAACCGCAUUAAGAUUUUCACACAAAA